GGCUGCAUUCUGUCCCCUGUGUGAUCCUCGGGCAGUGAACUGAGCUGCCUGGCUGGGUAGCUGAAGGCCUGACCAAGACCCUGUUGCAGUUCCCAUGGGGUGGGCUCUUCCACCUACCUGACUGAGGCAGGCCCCCUAGCCCACCCUAGUCCAGAAAUGUCCCAAGCAGAGUCUCUUGAGGUCUGUCCUGAGGAGGCAGCUAGAGGCAAGGGGCAUGCCUUCCUGUUCCAGCUGCAUAGCCAGCUAGCUCUACCGUUCAGCCACAUUCAUGCAUCUAGGGCCUCUGGGCCUGACAUGUGGACAGGAAAGAGAAAUCCCACAUGGAGCCAGACUCUGGGGCUUAUGAGGAAGCGAGGGCCAGAUUAUGAACAAAGCACACACGUGGGGUUGCCAUUUUAAGUCAGGCGGUGCUGACAUCUGAGGACAACUGCAGGAGAUUCUUCCUGAAAAUUUAUGUUGCCGGAUGAGGAAGCAAAGUCAAGUAAUGAAUUAACUUUCCUGGUGCAGAGGCCCAGAUUGGAAUUCCAGUAAAUUUGACUUUAUCUACGUAAA
This 552-nucleotide long non-coding RNA is filed under the name Mus pahari (shrew mouse). RNAcentral's name for it is "lncRNA (MGP_PahariEiJ_G0002666.1)". The record is from RNAcentral. Lineage: Eukaryota; Metazoa; Chordata; Mammalia; Rodentia; Muridae.